Molecule: ribosomal RNA, 301 nt
Filed under: uncultured bacterium
Lineage: Bacteria
Description: partial 16S ribosomal RNA
Rfam family: Bacterial small subunit ribosomal RNA
Source: RNAcentral
CAGUCGCCGCGGGAAUACGAAGGGGGCUAGCGUUGUUCGGAAUUACUGGGCGUAAAGCGCACGUAGGCGGAUAUUUAAGUCAGGGGUGAAAUCCCAGAGCUCAACUCUGGAACUGCCUUUGAUACUGGGUAUCUUGAGUAUGGAAGAGGUGAGUGGAAUUCCGAGUGUAGAGGUGAAAUUCGUAGAUAUUCGGAGGGACACCAGUGGCGAAGGCGGCUCACUGGUCCAUUACUGACGCUGAGGUGCGAAAGCGUGGGGAGCAAACAGGAUUAGAUACCCCGGUAGUCCCUGUCUCUUAUAC